UACGGAGGGUGCGAGCGUUAAUCGGAAUUACUGGGCGUAAAGCGCGCGUAGGCGGCGUGAUAAGCCGGUUGUGAAAGCCCCGGGCUCAACCUGGGAACGGCAUCCGGAACUGUCAAGCUAGAGUGCAGGAGAGGAAGGUAGAAUUCCCGGUGUAGCGGUGAAAUGCGUAGAGAUCGGGAGGAAUCCCAGUGGCGAAGGCGGCCUUCAGGACUGAUACUGACACUGAGGUGCGAAAGCGAGGGUAGCAAACCGG
This 253-nucleotide unclassified non-coding RNA is filed under the name uncultured Halomonadaceae bacterium. RNAcentral describes it as "contains 16S-23S intergenic spacer region". It matches the Rfam family "Bacterial small subunit ribosomal RNA", at positions 524 to 776 of the family's 1533-position model. Lineage: Bacteria; Pseudomonadati; Pseudomonadota; Gammaproteobacteria; Oceanospirillales; Halomonadaceae. The record is from RNAcentral.